UUCACUCAAGAGCUUUUCUUAUGGUUGAACCCAAAAGGUCACAGUAAGCUUCGAUAGUCUGCCUCCAACCGCCUGUCCCAAAGAAAAAUCGUCGUGCUGGAUUGGAGGCAUGGGUGAUGUUCUUCCUCCGGCUGUGCACCUGUCACCCACAACUCUCCUUCCUCUUUAAUAGUUGAUGGCAUAUCGACGUCGUUUUCCAGCAACGAUGACGAUGAUGGUGGAGUGAGUGCAAUGAUUUCACAGACUUCCAAAUUCACCACCGAGUGCUGGAAGCCGGCAUGUGUAGUACACUUAGAGGUGGCACUUCUCACUGAACUAAACUACCACAGCAUUGCUCAGCGGUCUGCUGUUCAGGAUUUUUUCCCAUUGAAUUAAACACAGAUACUAGCUACAAAUAAUAAAAAAACAAUUGAGAACAACUGUUAAGCUACAAAUCGGGUGUUCGGGCCAAGACUUAAGGCCUCGCUCAAAGAGGGGUAGAUCGAGCUAAGAGCUACCAAGGGAAAUUAAUGCCAACAAGAACUCGUCGAGCCUGAGAACUCUACCUUGCCGCUGCAAGGCCACGCGAGCUAGACUGGGAGACUGAAUUUGAUUAACCUCAAUGAUAGCCACUUAGUUGUUCCAACGAUUUAGAUAAGCUUCACUGGCAACCCCCUGCGAUGUUGUACAGAACCUCGAGUUGCUGCACCGCACGACGACGGCGACGAUUGGGCUUCUUAAGCUUCAACAAAACUUGCAGUACGUGUCGUCGCUUCCGACUCCACACUCUCCCUAGCGCCGUGGACCGUUAACGGCGCAGCUCCACAACCGAGAGACAACAAUCAAACAAUAGAAGAGAAAAACAAAACAACAACAAGGUCAGACGCACGAUCACGCACAGUCCUCACAACGUUGACGAAAUCAGUGUCACUAGCCUCCGCGCACCGCAGAAGGGUCAGGAACCCGCUCCACCUCCGCAACCUGGCAGAACAAGAACGUAAGGGAGGGAAUUCAACUAGGUCCAGUGUUGGACCCAACACCAAUUUGAAAAAAACAAGCGUCGAUCAACUUGCAAGGUGACCCUUGUAACGAUAACGUCCAAUCGCAACGACUGCCACUUUUCGAGGUUUGGAACCAGAACACGCACGAAAAAGAACCUGCUUGCUUUGGCCAGAACCGUCGUCAAUGAAGCUCUACACUAGAGCAAUGUAACGCCAAACUCCACCUCCUAGCAGAAUCGCAGAGAAACAAAAAACAAAACAAAACAAAACAAAAACAACCAUGGAUUGAAGAGGGAAGACACACAAAA
This 1288-nucleotide long non-coding RNA is filed under the name Physcomitrium patens. RNAcentral's name for it is "long non-coding RNA (PPAT_LNC005524)". The record is from RNAcentral. Lineage: Eukaryota; Viridiplantae; Streptophyta; Bryopsida; Funariales; Funariaceae.